AUGCCAGUGUGCUUUUCCCCCUCCAAGAUUUGGAUCAGUACACUAAGGAUGCAGGGUCUGCUCUCUGAUGGACUCCAGUACAUUUCAACAGGAGGAGAGCAAGAAAUCAACUCAGAGCAUCAUUUAUGUCUCCUCACCACAGCAGCCUUCACUGACCCAGUGACUCCAGCAAGCUGCCUUCAGCAGUCUUCACCACUGUCUCUUAGUAUUCAGGUCUUUAAAAUGGCAUUUGUAGCUGCUUUUUGCUUAUUUCUAGAUCUGAUGUUAAAAUAAGACUGAAAGCAUAAGCUGGAAAUCAGACGUGCCUUGUGUAAGUCUGACAGAAGUUCCCUGCAUACCACAGCUGAGUCACCUUGUAAACAAUGUAGAAAGCAGGUAAGUUUUGCUUCAUCUUCCUUGACAGUGCAGCUGGGGGUAAGAAUUGGACUGCUUCUGAAAAUCUGGAUGCUCAACAAGCGAGUGUUUGAG
Molecule: long non-coding RNA, 468 nt
Filed under: Cyanistes caeruleus (blue tit)
Lineage: Eukaryota; Metazoa; Chordata; Aves; Passeriformes; Paridae
Description: lncRNA (ENSCCEG00000019669.1)
Source: RNAcentral